This 653-nucleotide ribosomal RNA is filed under the name Salmonella enterica. RNAcentral describes it as "bacterial SSU rRNA". It matches the Rfam family "Bacterial small subunit ribosomal RNA", at positions 861 to 1514 of the family's 1533-position model. Lineage: Bacteria; Pseudomonadati; Pseudomonadota; Gammaproteobacteria; Enterobacterales; Enterobacteriaceae. The record is from RNAcentral. RNAcentral also lists the same sequence under 1 other name.
UAAGUAGACCGCCUGGGGAGUACGGCCGCAAGGUUAAAACUCAAAUGAAUUGACGGGGGCCCGCACAAGCGGUGGAGCAUGUGGUUUAAUUCGAUGCAACGCGAAGAACCUUACCUGGUCUUGACAUCCACGGAAGUUUUCAGAGAUGAGAAUGUGCCUUCGGGAACCGUGAGACAGGUGCUGCAUGGCUGUCGUCAGCUCGUGUUGUGAAAUGUUGGGUUAAGUCCCGCAACGAGCGCAACCCUUAUCCUUUGUUGCCAGCGAUUAGGUCGGGAACUCAAAGGAGACUGCCAGUGAUAAACUGGAGGAAGGUGGGGAUGACGUCAAGUCAUCAUGGCCCUUACGACCAGGGCUACACACGUGCUACAAUGGCGCAUACAAAGAGAAGCGACCUCGCGAGAGCAAGCGGACCUCAUAAAGUGCGUCGUAGUCCGGAUUGGAGUCUGCAACUCGACUCCAUGAAGUCGGAAUCGCUAGUAAUCGUGGAUCAGAAUGCCACGGUGAAUACGUUCCCGGGCCUUGUACACACCGCCCGUCACACCAUGGGAGUGGGUUGCAAAAGAAGUAGGUAGCUUAACCUUCGGGAGGGCGCUUACCACUUUGUGAUUCAUGACUGGGGUGAAGUCGUAACAAGGUAACCGUAGGGGAACCUG